Molecule: transfer RNA, 74 nt
Filed under: Thiorhodovibrio frisius
Lineage: Bacteria; Pseudomonadati; Pseudomonadota; Gammaproteobacteria; Chromatiales; Chromatiaceae
Description: Thiorhodovibrio sp. 970 tRNA
Rfam family: tRNA
About the family: Transfer RNA (tRNA) molecules are approximately 80 nucleotides in length. Their secondary structure includes four short double-helical elements and three loops (D, anti-codon, and T loops). Further hydrogen bonds mediate the characteristic L-shaped molecular structure. tRNAs have two regions of fundamental functional importance: the anti-codon, which is responsible for specific mRNA codon recognition, and the 3' end, to which the tRNAs corresponding amino acid is attached (by aminoacyl-tRNA synthetases). tRNAs cope with the degeneracy of the genetic code in two manners: having more than one tRNA (with a specific anti-codon) for a particular amino acid; and 'wobble' base-pairing, i.e. permitting non-standard base-pairing at the 3rd anti-codon position.
Source: Rfam by way of RNAcentral
GCCCUCGUAGCUCAGUAGGAUAGAGCGGCCGCCUCCUAAGCGGCAGGUCACAGGUUCGAAUCCUGUCGAGGGCG